This is a long non-coding RNA of Mytilus californianus (California mussel), 2068 nucleotides long. RefSeq lists it as uncharacterized. NCBI's taxonomy places the organism in Eukaryota, Metazoa, Mollusca, Bivalvia, Mytilida, Mytilidae. The transcript is spliced from 3 exons. The record is from RefSeq and is a predicted model, not a curated record.
GGGAAAAAUAAACAGCAUGAUACCACUGCAACGUGUACCCCUCUAGACUACAAAUGCAGCCCAUGUCAGUAUAAAAUUUUCUUUUGAGGAAAAACAUGGUCACCAAACAAUGCCAAAGAAAAUGAUUUGAUUCUAAAUUGGCCCUUUUUAAGUCCUAUGGGAUUUUUGUAUGUUUUGACAGGAUGUUACUUGAAGAAAAUAUGGUGCAAACAAAGUAUAUCUCAUCAGCAUGAUAGUGGUGUUGAAUGACUAACAUUUUGAAGAUAAUAAUUAUGGAGAUUUAAAAAUGAGAUGAUUUUUUUCAAGAAGCACCAAGGAUGUCCAAGAAUUAACUUUGUUGAAGACUUACUUUAAUGCGAACUCAGAUUGACCAACCAGCAAUUGUACUAACAACAAUAAUGAGAAAUACUAGAACAGUUUACUACAGUAUUAGUUUUUUAAAUUGAGUUUCAUUAUAAUAAGAAUUAAACCAAUGCUAUACUAUUUGUAAAUUAAUUUUGAAAUGGAGCUUAUUGUAGCUUGCGGUCCAACUUUGGGACAAAACAAUACCAGUCUUUAAUUGUCUGUCUUGUAUCAAGUAUGAAAAUCAGCAAAGAACAGUUUCACCUUUAAUAUUUUAACAUAUAAAUAUUUUUCAAGAUAUUUUUUAUAUUUUGAAUAUUGAAAAAGGACAUCUUAACUUUUCAGCAGCUCUAUCAGGAGAUUUAACUUUAGAUAUAUUUUCUACAGCCACACAAAAUAUCCUAAUUUUGUCCUAUAAGUCAUGACAAGUGCCAGCCAGCCUAAGAAUUGAAUAGUGAUUAAAAACAUGAUUGAAAAAUCAUGCAAAAGUACAUUUAUAUAAAAUAUCUUUUAUUUCUAAAUAACCUAUGAAUUGAGCAUUGAUUAAAAACAUGAUUGAAAAAUCAUGCAAAUAUACAUUAAUACAAAAUAUCUUUUAUUUAUAAAUAGCAGUAAUGCAUAUUAAAAAUGCUUGUUUAUUUCACUGUGCUUUUGUUUUUUAUUUUUAUUUUACUCUGUUUUAAAAAGCAAAAGUUGUGAUACAGCUGGAACUGUUACAUAUUAAUAUUUAUUGGUCCCUGGAUACAGUCACUAUUUUACAUUAUUUUUGGCUGAUUUUAACUUAUUCCUACAAGUUUGUAAGAGGGGACACAAAACAAAACCUAUAAUUAAAAAAAUAUAAAAAGGUAAUUGAGGAGCCAUGAUGUAAUUAUAUAAGAGGGUCUGGAUGGGGUUUACAGAAUAGAGAAUAAUGGACUAUUACUACAGAAUAAUGGGCUAAAACAUAAAAAGAUAGAGAAAAAUAGUCCAAAACAAUUAAGAAUAGAGAAUAAUAGCCAAAUUUAUAAUGAACAGAGAAAAAUGGCUUAAAAAAAUUAGAGUACGAUUGAAGGACCUCCCAUCUAAACCCUCUAUGAUGUAACAGUAUGUUUAAGCAUGUUAAUAAAUUCAUCAUUUAGAUGAUUUCUAUUCACAAAUAUAGAAUAUAUCAUGAACCAACUACAUAAUUUAUCACAAUCUGAACAAAUCUCUUUCAGAAAUGUAUGCAUAAUCCUAGUGUUCCCAUAUUUAUGUCAGAACUUAUGCACUUUUUGAAUGUACAAAAAAAAUAUAAAUUUUCCCCUUCGUUUGGCCUUAAAGUCUCCAUGAUGAUAUUUGAAAGGCCUUCUGGUUGAAACGUUUCAAAUAUUUGUUUAGCAUUUUAAUCAUUUUAAACUGAAACCCAUAUGAUUGUGUAAUACUCCAUUUUGUAGGCUUAUUAAUUCUGUAACACACCUACUCCUUUUUAAUACUACAGGAUUCUACAAAAGUUUUGCAACUAUUAUUUUUGUUAUGAACUUUUGCUUUUAAUAUUUUAUUAUAAAAAUGUCCAAUACAUUAUUUAUAUUGUCUGUAAUAUCAGGAGUCUUCAUGUUACGUUUUUUUUAUACUAAUGUUUCUGUUGAAACUAAUCAAAUACUUUAAAUUCAUUUAUUAAUGCAAUUUUUGAAGAAUGAAAAAAAUGUGAGAUUAAUUAUUGCGAUUUCAGGAAAAUCUGCAUACAGAUAAAUGUAUCAUAUAAUCAGAA